This 429-nucleotide ribosomal RNA is filed under the name Bacteroidota bacterium. Its description in RNAcentral is "Bacteroidetes bacterium partial 16S ribosomal RNA". It matches the Rfam family "Bacterial small subunit ribosomal RNA", at positions 355 to 776 of the family's 1533-position model. The record is from RNAcentral. Lineage: Bacteria; Pseudomonadati; Bacteroidota.
UAGGGAAUCUUCCGCAAUGGACGCAAGUCUGACGGAGCAACGCCGCGUGAGUGAAGAAGGAUUUCGGUUCGUAAAACUCUGUUGUUAGAGAAGAACAGCGCAUAGAGUAACUGUUAUGCGUGUGACGGUAUCUAACCAGAAAGCCACGGCUAACUACGUGCCAGCAGCCGCGGUAAUACGUAGGUGGCAAGCGUUGUCCGGAUUUAUUGGGCGUAAAGCGAGCGCAGGCGGUCAAUUAAGUCAGAUGUGAAAGCCCCCGGCUCAACCGGGGAGGGUCAUUGGAAACUGGUUGACUUGAGUGCAGAAGAGGAGAGUGGAAUUCCAUGUGUAGCGGUGAAAUGCGUAGAUAUAUGGAGGAACACAAGUGGCGAAGGCGACUCUCUGGUCUGUAACUGACGCUGAGGUUCGAAAGCGUGGGUAGCAAACAGG